GACGAACGCUGGCGGCGUGCUUAACACAUGCAAGUCGAACGCUGAAGCGUGGUGCUCGUACUGGGCGGAAGAGUGGCGAACGGGUGAGUAAUACGUGAGUAACCUACCCUUGACUCAGGGAUAAGUCUGGGAAGCAGGGUCUAACACUGGAUACGUCAUGUCACUGCAUGGUGGUGUGUGGAAAGGAAUUUACUGGUGUUGGAUGGGCUCACGGCCUAUCAGUUUGGUGGUGGGGUAAUGGCUCACCAAGGCGAGUACGGGUAGCCGGCCGGAGAGGGUGACUGGCGACACUGGGACAGAGAGACGGCACAGACCACUGCGGGAGGCAGCAGUGUGGAAUAUUGCAUGAUCGGCGGAAGCCUCAUGCAGCGACGCCGCGUGAGGGGUGACGGCCUGCGGGUUGUAAACCUCAUCCAGCACGGCGGAAGCGAAAGUGACGGUACGUGAAGAAGAAGCGCCGGCUAACUACGUG
This 472-nucleotide ribosomal RNA is filed under the name uncultured bacterium. Its description in RNAcentral is "partial 16S ribosomal RNA". It matches the Rfam family "Bacterial small subunit ribosomal RNA", at positions 28 to 507 of the family's 1533-position model. The record is from RNAcentral.